Molecule: long non-coding RNA, 249 nt
Organism: Cervus elaphus (red deer)
Lineage: Eukaryota; Metazoa; Chordata; Mammalia; Artiodactyla; Cervidae
Exons: 3
Source: RefSeq, a predicted model, not a curated record
ACUGCAUUUUGAACUCUUUUGUUGACUAUAAUGACUACUCCAUUUUUUCUAAGGGAUUCCUGCCCACAGUAGUAGAUAUAAUGGUCAUCUGAGUUAAAUUCACCCAUUCUAGUCCAUCUUAUUUUACUGAUUCUUAGAAUGUCGAUGUUCUCUCUUGCCACCUCCUGUUUGACCAUUUCCAAUUUGCCUUGAUUCAUGGACCUAACAUUUCAGGUUCCUAUGCAAUAUAUCAUAUAUCAUGAAAAGUAA